Molecule: long non-coding RNA, 691 nt
Filed under: Capsicum annuum
Lineage: Eukaryota; Viridiplantae; Streptophyta; Magnoliopsida; Solanales; Solanaceae
Description: long non-coding RNA (CANN_LNC011234)
Source: RNAcentral
GCAUUUUCGCUCACAUCACAUGAAUGUAAAGAGUGCAUUGACCAAUGGUUUUUUAAAAGGACAAUGUAUUUGUAGGUCUACCUCAUGGAUUUGAGACAUGUAAAGAGAGUGCAGGAAACUUCAAUAUACUUCUUGGAAGUGUCACUAAAUACACAGCGCUUCUGUAUUUCCUUGAUUUAUUUAUAACUCAAGGGGAGAUAUUUUCCACUAUAUAAAUUUGGUGAAACAUUCUCCCUGAAUUGUCACAACAACAAGAGAUGGUUAGAUCAAGAGUUCUUCUCGUCCUUUUGUGCUUGUUUUUCAUGUUUGCAUCAUUAGGUGGGAGAGGAUUUUCUGUGCGCGGAUUUAAUAGGUAUAAUAGAUUUAAUAGGUGGGUAGUGAAUCUAUUUUUAUUUGUGCGUGGAUAUUUUUUAAAUUUUGUUUUAAUAUCUUUUAAUGAUUUACUUUUUUCGUAAGAUAUAUUCAUUAAUUAUUUUAUCCUGUAGUAAUUGCAGAGUUACAAAUUUUUGUAUAAUAAUUUAUCCUAUCUGUGCUAUAAUGUAUAUCUAAUUCUAGAUUUUCAAUGUUAUUUAUUAUCUUGUGUUGUUCUUCUCGUAGUGAGUUUUUUAAAUUAUAUAAACUAUCACAUGUACUUUUAUCUAAAUUUUCUAAGGUUUUUUCUAUCCAUAUUAAUUUUUCUUUUAGGUCUUUC